Molecule: ribosomal RNA, 991 nt
Filed under: Bacillus siamensis
Lineage: Bacteria; Bacillati; Bacillota; Bacilli; Caryophanales; Bacillaceae
Description: bacterial SSU rRNA
Rfam family: Bacterial small subunit ribosomal RNA
Source: RNAcentral
UGGCUCAGGCUGGNCACCUCCUUAGUUGUUCCCUGAGGUUAGCGGCGGACGGGUGAGUAACACGUGGGUAACCUGCCUGUAAGACUGGGAUAACUCCGGGAAACCGGGGCUAAUACCGGAUGGUUGUUUGAACCGCAUGGUUCAGACAUAAAAGGUGGCUUCGGCUACCACUUACAGAUGGACCCGCGGCGCAUUAGCUAGUUGGUGAGGUAACGGCUCACCAAGGCGACGAUGCGUAGCCGACCUGAGAGGGUGAUCGGCCACACUGGGACUGAGACACGGCCCAGACUCCUACGGGAGGCAGCAGUAGGGAAUCUUCCGCAAUGGACGAAAGUCUGACGGAGCAACGCCGCGUGAGUGAUGAAGGUUUUCGGAUCGUAAAGCUCUGUUGUUAGGGAAGAACAAGUGCCGUUCAAAUAGGGCGGCACCUUGACGGUACCUAACCAGAAAGCCACGGCUAACUACGUGCCAGCAGCCGCGGUAAUACGUAGGUGGCAAGCGUUGUCCGGAAUUAUUGGGCGUAAAGGGCUCGCAGGCGGUUUCUUAAGUCUGAUGUGAAAGCCCCCGGCUCAACCGGGGAGGGUCAUUGGAAACUGGGGAACUUGAGUGCAGAAGAGGAGAGUGGAAUUCCACGUGUAGCGGUGAAAUGCGUAGAGAUGUGGAGGAACACCAGUGGCGAAGGCGACUCUCUGGUCUGUAACUGACGCUGAGGAGCGAAAGCGUGGGGAGCGAACAGGAUUAGAUACCCUGGUAGUCCACGCCGUAAACGAUGAGUGCUAAGUGUUAGGGGGUUUCCGCCCCUUAGUGCUGCAGCUAACGCAUUAAGCACUCCGCCUGGGGGAGUACGGUCGCAAGACUGAACUCAAAGGAUUGACGGGGGCCCGCACAAGCGGUGGAGCAUGUNGUUUAUUUCGAAGCAACGCGAAGAACCUUACCAGGNCUUGACAUCCUCUGACNAUUCCUAGAGAUAGGACGUCCCCUUCGGGGGCAG